Molecule: long non-coding RNA, 1829 nt
Organism: Sebastes umbrosus (honeycomb rockfish)
Lineage: Eukaryota; Metazoa; Chordata; Actinopteri; Perciformes; Sebastidae
Exons: 6
Source: RefSeq, a predicted model, not a curated record
GAGACCCCGCAGACUGCUCUCACAGGCCGUAGAGAGACGUGCUCAGCAGACCUACCUACCAUGUGGCUACUGGACCAUUAAACCCAUAAUAACCACAGUGGACGGAGAGUUUACCGACAGAUAGUGGACGCUCUGAGGCCUGCGGAAGGACCAGGAGACGUUGCUGGGGCUGUUUGGGAGUUCUGAAGAUCCCGGUUUCAGACGUCAUCACGUCAUGACGUCAUCACGUCAGGUUGUUGACGCCAGAUGCUUGUUUCAGCCAUCAUCACGCCAUGACGUCAUCACGUCGGGUUGUUGACGCCAGAUGCUCGUUUCAGCCAUCAUCACGCCAUGACGUCAUCACGUCGGGUUGUUGACGCCAGAUGCUUGUUUCAGCCAUCAUCACGCCAUGACGUCAUCACGUCGGGUUGUUGACGCCAGAUGCUUGUUUCAGCCAUCAUCACGCCAUGGCGUCAUCACGUCGGGUUGUUGACGCCAGAUGCUUGUUUCAGCCAUCAUCACGCCAUGACGUCAUCACGUCGGGUUGUUGACGCCAGAUGCUCGUUUCAGCCAUCAUCACGCCAUGGCGUCAUCACGUCGGGUUGUUGACGCCAGAUGCUUGUUUCAGCCAUCAUCACGCCAUGGCGUCAUCACGUCGGGUUGUUGACGCCAGAUGCUUGUUUCAGCCAUCAUCACGCCAUGACGUCAUCACGUCGGGUUGUUGACGCCAGAUGCUUGUUUCAGCCAUCAUCACGCCAUGACGUCAUCACGUCGGGUUGUUGACGCCAGAUGCUUGUUUCAGCCAUCAUCACGCCAUGACGUCAUCACGUCGGGUUGUUGACGCCAGAUGCUCGUUUCAGCCAUCAUCACGCCAUGACGUCAUCACGUCGGGUUGUUGACGCCAGAUGCUCGUUUCAGCCAUCAUCACGCCAUGACGUCAUCACGUCGGGUUGUUGACGCCAGAUGCUCGUUUCAGCCAUCAUCACGCCAUGACGUCAUCACGUCGGGUUGUUGACGUCAGAUGCUCGUUUCCCUCAUCGUCCCCUCAUCGUUUCAUCACCCUGCUCGUCCAACUGACUGCUCAAGGAAGUCGUGGCUGAAAUACAUUUUGCUGGUGCCCCCUUCCACAUCAGUACAUCGCUUUGGUUCCGUGUGGUAAUUCCUGUCUGUUUCUCUAAGCUGGGAGCACGCCGACCGUCAUCUACUGUUGCCAAUACUAUCCCAAAAAAGGCUACAUAAGAAUACUGCUACCAGCUUGGAGGGCCCGAGGGUCCCCUGGGUCCUUCUCCUCCAUUCUGUCCAGGCAUACCGGACUCUCCAGGGGGGCCAGGUCUUCCAGAACCGCCGUCCUUACCAGAAGGGCCUGGAGGUCCUGGACGGCCCGCUGUACUCUUCACAUGGGCUGGCUGGAUCUGAGCCAUGAGGAUGAGGAGGUUCAACAUGGACUCCAGGAUACCCUGCAACUUCUACAGGUGCACAAUCGAAAGUAUCCUGACUGGCUGCAUCACCGCCUGGUCUGGCAGCUGCAUGUUCUUUAUGUUUAUACUCCUCAUGCAUAAACAUUUACUGCAUUCCUGUUUACAUUCAGCUUAUUAAUUUGCAAUUACUGUCUACCACAAAUGUAUAGUAUAUUACUUUAUUUCAUAUUUAUUUGUUAUAUUUUAUCCCUAUAUUCUAACUUGCACAAUUGUAUGUCUUAGUUCUAUGAUUUUCUUUUAUACAUACUUAAUUGUUUCAUUGUUGAAGGGAGCUUGAGACUAAAGAAUUUAAUUGAUAACGACUGCUUCUGUCAUUUUUAUGCAUUUGAUAAUAAAUAAAACUUGAAACUUCAAAAUAACUGAAUAUUUUUU